AAAAAAAAUGUGCAGAUCUAGAUAUAUGUAUAUAUAUAAAAAAAAAUGAAUUCAAAAAAAACAACGGCGUUGCUAGCGCAAAAUUGCGAUCAUCGCAACUGGGUCAGAUAACACAAAUGUCACGCCUCAUACACGUAUAUGUGAAAACGGCGUAUUGACACGAUCCGAUCCGAAAACAUAAUCAAAUAUAACAUAAAAUAGAAAUAUAUAUAUAUAUAUAUAUAUAAACUAUUACCAAACUGUGUGUACGAUAGUAUAGAUCAGCCACUCUCAGUUUCUCUUUUUU
This 286-nucleotide long non-coding RNA is filed under the name Lathyrus oleraceus (garden pea). RNAcentral describes it as "Pisum sativum (pea) long non-coding RNA (PSAT_LNC030150)". The record is from RNAcentral. Lineage: Eukaryota; Viridiplantae; Streptophyta; Magnoliopsida; Fabales; Fabaceae.